CAGCAGCCACGGUAAUACGAAGGGUGCAAGCGUUAAUCGGAAUUACCGGGCGUAAAGCGUGCGUAGGCGGUGAGUUAAGUCUGCUGUGAAAUCCCCGGGCUCAACCCGGGAAUGGCAGUGGAUACUGGCUCGCUAGAGUGUGUCAGAGGAUGGUGGAAUUCCCGGUGUAGCGGUGAAAUGCGUAGAGAUCGGGAGGAACAUCAGUGGCGAAGGCGGCCAUCUGGGACAACACUGACGCUGAAGCACGAAAGCGUGGGGAGCAAACAGGAUUAGAUACCCGUGUAGUCCCUGUCUCUUAUAA
Molecule: ribosomal RNA, 301 nt
Filed under: uncultured bacterium
Lineage: Bacteria
Description: partial 16S ribosomal RNA
Rfam family: Bacterial small subunit ribosomal RNA
Source: RNAcentral